CCUACGGGGGGCAGCAGUGAGGAAUAUUGGUCAAUGGACGAGAGUCUGAACCAGCCAAGUAGCGUGAAGGAUGACUGCCCUAUGGGUUGUAAACUUCUUUUAUAUGGGAAUAAAAUGUUCCACGUGUGGGAUUUUGUAUGUACCUUAUGAAUAAGGAUCGGCUAACUCCGUGCCAGCAGCCGCGGUAAUACGGAGGGUCCGAGCGUUAUCCGGAUUUAUUGGGUUUAAAGGGUGCGUAGGUGGAUUGUUAAGUCAGUUGUGAAAGUUUGCGGCUCAACCGUAAAAUUGCAGUUGAAACUGGCAGUCUUGAGUACAGUAGAGGUGGGCGGAAUUCGUGGUGUAGCGGUGAAAUGCUUAGAUAUCACGAAGAACUCCGAUUGCGAAGGCAGUUCACUGGACUGCAACUGACACUGAGGCUCGAAAGUGUGGGUAUCAAACAGGAUUAGAUACCCUUGUAGUC
RNAcentral lists this ribosomal RNA (460 nucleotides) under uncultured bacterium. RNAcentral describes it as "partial 16S ribosomal RNA". It matches the Rfam family "Bacterial small subunit ribosomal RNA", at positions 338 to 795 of the family's 1533-position model. The record is from RNAcentral.